AUUGAACGCUGGCGGCAGGCCUAACACAUGCAAGUCGAGCGGAUGAAGGGGGCUUGCUCCUGGAUUCAGCGGCGGACGGGUGAGUAAUGCCUAGGAAUCUGCCUGGUAGUGGGGGAUAACGUCCGGAAACGGGCGCUAAUACCGCAUACGUCCUGAGGGAGAAAGUGGGGGAUCUUCGGACCUCACGCUAUCAGAUGAGCCUAGGUCGGAUUAGCUAGUUGGUGGGGUAAAGGCCUACCAAGGCGACGAUCCGUAACUGGUCUGAGAGGAUGAUCAGUCACACUGGAACUGAGACACGGUCCAGACUCCUACGGGAGGCAGCAGUGGGGAAUAUUGGACAAUGGGCGAAGGCCUGAUCCAGCCAUGCCGCGUGUGUGAAGAAGGUCUUCGGAUUGUAAAGCACUUUAAGUUGGGAGGAAGGGCAGUAAGUUAAUACCUUGCUGUUUUGACGUUACCAACAGAAUAAGCACCGGCUAACUUCGUGCCAGCAGCCGCGGUAAUACGAAGGGUGCAAGCGUUAAUCGGAAUUACUGGGCGUAAAGCGCGCGUAGGUGGUUCAGCAAGUUGGAUGUGAAAUCCCCGGGCUCAACCUGGGAACUGCAUCCAAAACUACUGAGCUAGAGUACGGUAGAGGGUGGUGGAAUUUCCUGUGUAGCGGUGAAAUGCGUAGAUAUAGGAAGGAACACCAGUGGCGAAGGCGACCACCUGGACUGAUACUGACACUGAGGUGCGAAAGCGUGGGGAGCAAACAGGAUUAGAUACCCUGGUAGUCCACGCCGUAAACGAUGUCGACUAGCCGUUGGGAUCCUUGAGAUCUUAGUGGCGCAGCUAACGCGAUAAGUCGACCGCCUGGGGAGUACGGCCGCAAGGUUA
RNAcentral lists this ribosomal RNA (873 nucleotides) under uncultured Pseudomonadales bacterium. RNAcentral's name for it is "bacterial SSU rRNA". It matches the Rfam family "Bacterial small subunit ribosomal RNA", at positions 28 to 896 of the family's 1533-position model. The record is from RNAcentral. Lineage: Bacteria; Pseudomonadati; Pseudomonadota; Gammaproteobacteria; Pseudomonadales.